AUACGGAGGGGGCUAGCGUUGUUCGGAAUUACUGGGCGUAAAGCGUACGUAGGCGGACUGAUCAGUUGGGGGUGAAAUCCCAGGGCUUAACCCUGGAACUGCCUUCAAUACUGUCAGUCUUGAGAUUGAAAGAGGUGAGUGGAAUUCCUAGUGUAGAGGUGAAAUUCAUAGAUAUUAGGAGGAACACCAGUGGCGAAGGCGGCUCACUGGUCCAAUACUGACGCUGAGGUACGAAAGCGUGGGGAGCAAACAGGAUUAGAAACCCGAGUAGUCC
This 274-nucleotide ribosomal RNA is filed under the name uncultured bacterium. RNAcentral's name for it is "partial 16S ribosomal RNA". It matches the Rfam family "Bacterial small subunit ribosomal RNA", at positions 523 to 796 of the family's 1533-position model. The record is from RNAcentral.